This 324-nucleotide ribosomal RNA is filed under the name uncultured eukaryote. RNAcentral describes it as "partial 18S ribosomal RNA". It matches the Rfam family "Eukaryotic small subunit ribosomal RNA", at positions 1470 to 1796 of the family's 1831-position model. The record is from RNAcentral.
CCCUUAGAUGCUCUGGGCCGCACGCGCGCUACACUGGUCGAUGCAACGAGUUUCUUUCCUUGGCCGACAGGCCUGGGCAAUCUUUGAACAUCGAUCGUGAUCGGGAUAGAUUCUUGUAAUUUUUGAUCUUAAACGAGGAAUUCCUAGUAAACGCAAGUUAUCAGCUUGCAUUGAUUACGUCCCUGCCCUUUGUACACACCGCCCGUCGCACCUACCGAUUGAAUGGUCCGGUGAAAUCUCCGGACUGGCGUGAGUCGGAGCAAUCUGACAAACACCGGAAAGUUGAUUAAACCUUACCAUUUAGAGGAAGGUGAAGUCGUAACA